Molecule: non-coding RNA, 24 nt
Filed under: Arabidopsis thaliana (thale cress)
Lineage: Eukaryota; Viridiplantae; Streptophyta; Magnoliopsida; Brassicales; Brassicaceae
Source: RNAcentral
AUUCAUAAUUGGAGAAUUAGGUAC